GACGAACGCUGGCGGCGUGCUUAACACAUGCAAGUCGAACGGAAAGGCCCUGCUUGCAGGGUACUCGAGUGGCGAACGGGUGAGUAACACGCGGGUGAUCUGCCCUGCACUUCGGGAUAAGCCUGGGAAACUGGGUCUAAUACCGGAUAGGAGCCAUUUUUAGUGUGAUGGUUGGAAAGUUUUUUCGGUGUAGGAUGAGCUCGCGGCCUAUCAGCUUGUUGGUGGGGUAAUGGCCUACCAAGGCGGCGACGGGUAGCCGGCCUGAGAGGGUGGACGGCCACAUUGGGACUGAGAUACGGCCCAGACUCCUACGGGAGGCAGCAGUGGGGAAUAUUGCACAAUGGGCGCAAGCCUGAUGCAGCGACGCCGCGUGGGGGAUGACGGCCUUCGGGUUGUAAACUCCUUUCGCUAGGGACGAAGCUUUUUGUGACGGUACCUAGAGAAGAAGCACCGGCUAACUACGUG
Molecule: ribosomal RNA, 465 nt
Filed under: uncultured bacterium
Lineage: Bacteria
Description: partial 16S ribosomal RNA
Rfam family: Bacterial small subunit ribosomal RNA
Source: RNAcentral